UACAAAUCUGAGGGAAGAUAUCCCAGUAGACUUCCAUAUUUCUGAGACAUUACUGUGGAACACUUAGCAAAAUCGGGGGCAAAGGAGCUAUUUCCAUUUUCUACAUAUCUGCUAUAAUCCUCAAAUCAGGCCAGCUGCUGGAAUGAAAAGAUGCAUAAGAUCCUCUUGCUCUGUGCUCCCGAUGGGGCUGCUCACGAUUCAGCCGAAGAACAACCAUGCUACAUUUCAAUUACCUUUAUAUGUCUAAGGGUUUGAAUAGAGGAAGAAAUUUGGAGCAACAUUGAGAUUUCCAGUGUGGACACUGAAAUGAGAUAGACAUUACGCUCUCUGGGUCUAAUAAUAAUACUUUCUAUGAUUUGCUAAAAACUAGUGUUUCCCAAGUAAUAUAAAUCUCAAGUCAGGAAGUGAGAUUCUUAUUUUAGCAAAAAAAAAAAAAAAAGUUCCAUUUAGAUUCUGAAUAUAAAUAGGAUAAUACACAGACCGAUAUUCAAGUAGUGAAGUGUAGUAGAGGCUCACUUGUGAUUAAAGGAUAUCAAUACUUCAGAGCCUGUUAUGAAAGAAUUGUUGGCUGAUUUCACUUGGCCCCUCUUUUUCAAACCCUGACUUGUAUGACUCAAAGCUUCCCAUAACUUGGUGUCCAACUUAUUUCCUCCCAGCACAGCAGUAUCCCAGGCUGACUCAUCUCUGUGUGGCCCAGGCACUCUGUUUUUGGUGCCUGUUGGAAGUUGAUCCAGUAGGGAAAAGCAGCAACACCCAAAAUGUCUUAAGGAAAAUGGAAAUAUCAUUCACCAGAAAGAACUGAAGUUCUCAGACCCAGCGGAUGACAGAAGGACAACACCAGAGGACCGUGCGGCUGCAAGGGCAAAUAUCCCACAAGACGGAAUCCUUCCCUGAGUAGCAGAUAACUUGGAAGAGACUGAGGAUUAGAAAAGCAAGAAGUGACUUGUGCAGUUCAAAUAGGCUUCAGGUGUCUAUGAGAGGAAGCAGCCGAGAAGACUCACGUCCUCGUUUUGUGUUGCUAUCGCAAAAUGUAUGAGGCUGGAUACCUAAUAAU
RNAcentral lists this long non-coding RNA (1054 nucleotides) under Oryctolagus cuniculus (rabbit). RNAcentral describes it as "lncRNA (ENSOCUG00000034730.1)". The record is from RNAcentral. Lineage: Eukaryota; Metazoa; Chordata; Mammalia; Lagomorpha; Leporidae.